GACGAACGCUGGCGGCGUGCUUAACACAUGCAAGUCGAACGGAAAGGCCCUGCUUUUGUGGGGUGCUCGAGUGGCGAACGGGUGAGUAACACGUGAGUAACCUGCCCUUGACUUUGGGAUAACUUCAGGAAACUGGGGCUAAUACCGGAUAGGAGCUCCUGCUGCAUGGUGGGGGUUGGAAAGUUUCGGCGGUUGGGGAUGGACUCGCGGCUUAUCAGCUUGUUGGUGGGGUAGUGGCUUACCAAGGCUUUGACGGGUAGCCGGCCUGAGAGGGUGACCGGCCACAUUGGGACUGGGAUACGGCCCAGACUCCUACGGGGGGAAGCAGUGGGGAAUUUUGCAAAAGGGGCGGAAGCCUGAUGCAGCAACGCCGCGGGGGGGAUGACGGCCUUCGGGUUGUAAACCGCUUUCGCCUGUGACGAAGCGGGGGUGACGGUAAUGGGUAAAGAAGCACCGGCUAACUACGU
This 467-nucleotide ribosomal RNA is filed under the name uncultured bacterium. RNAcentral's name for it is "partial 16S ribosomal RNA". It matches the Rfam family "Bacterial small subunit ribosomal RNA", at positions 28 to 506 of the family's 1533-position model. The record is from RNAcentral.